UACGUAGGGUGCGAGCGUUGUCCGGAAUUAUUGGGCGUAAAGAGCUCGUAGGUGGCUUGUCACGUCGGGUGUGAAAGCUUGGGGCUUAACUCCGGGUCUGCAUUCGAUACGGGCUGGCUAGAGGUAGGUAGGGGAGAACGGAAUUCCUGGUGUAGCGGUGAAAUGCGCAGAUAUCAGGAGGAACACCGGUGGCGAAGGCGGUUCUCUGGGCCUUACCUGACGCUGAGGAGCGAAAGCGUGGGGAGCGAACAGG
Molecule: ribosomal RNA, 253 nt
Filed under: uncultured bacterium
Lineage: Bacteria
Description: partial 16S ribosomal RNA
Rfam family: Bacterial small subunit ribosomal RNA
Source: RNAcentral